RNAcentral lists this transfer RNA (69 nucleotides) under Indotyphlus maharashtraensis. Its description in RNAcentral is "tRNA-Ala". It matches the Rfam family "tRNA". Rfam says of the family: Transfer RNA (tRNA) molecules are approximately 80 nucleotides in length. Their secondary structure includes four short double-helical elements and three loops (D, anti-codon, and T loops). The record is from RNAcentral. Lineage: Eukaryota; Metazoa; Chordata; Amphibia; Gymnophiona; Indotyphlidae.
AAGGCCUUAGCUUAAUUAAAGUGUUUGGGUUGCAUUCAGAUGAUGUAGGAUAAAGUCUUACAGGUCUUA